This 387-nucleotide ribosomal RNA is filed under the name uncultured bacterium. RNAcentral describes it as "bacterial SSU rRNA". It matches the Rfam family "Archaeal small subunit ribosomal RNA", at positions 339 to 727 of the family's 1478-position model. The record is from RNAcentral.
GCGAGAAAACUUUGCAAUGUGCGAAAGCACGACAAGGUUAAUCCGAGUGAUUUCUGCUAAAGGAAUCUUUUGUUAGUUCUAAAAAUACUAGUGAAUAAGGGGUGGGCAAGUUCUGGUGUCAGCCGCCGCGGUAAAACCAGCACCUCAAGUGGUCAGGAGGAUUAUUGGGCCUAAAGCAUCCGUAGCCUGUUCUAUAAGUUUGCGGUUAAAUCUAUACGCUCAACGUAUAGGCUGCUGUAAAUACUGUAGAACUAGGGAGUGGGAGAGGUAGACGGUACUCGGUAGGAAGGGGUAAAAUCCUUUGAUCUAUCGAUGACCACCUGUGGCGAAGGCGGUCUACCAGAACACGUUCGACGGUGAGGGAUGAAAGCUGGGGGAGCAAACCGG